This 537-nucleotide ribosomal RNA is filed under the name Limosilactobacillus fermentum. Its description in RNAcentral is "bacterial SSU rRNA". It matches the Rfam family "Bacterial small subunit ribosomal RNA", at positions 373 to 903 of the family's 1533-position model. The record is from RNAcentral. Lineage: Bacteria; Bacillati; Bacillota; Bacilli; Lactobacillales; Lactobacillaceae.
GGGCGCAGCCUGAUGGAGCACACCGCGUGAGUGAAGAAGGGUUUCGGCUCGUAAAGCUCUGUUGUUAAAGAAGAACACGUAUGAGAGUAACUGUUCAUACGUUGACGGUAUUUAACCAGAAAGUCACGGCUAACUACGUGCCAGCAGCCGCGGUAAUACGUAGGUGGCAAGCGUUAUCCGGAUUUAUUGGGCGUAAAGAGAGUGCAGGCGGUUUUCUAAGUCUGAUGUGAAAGCCUUCGGCUUAACCGGAGAAGUGCAUCGGAAACUGGAUAACUUGAGUGCAGAAGAGGGUAGUGGAACUCCAUGUGUAGCGGUGGAAUGCGUAGAUAUAUGGAAGAACACCAGUGGCGAAGGCGGCUACCUGGUCUGCAACUGACGCUGAGACUCGAAAGCAUGGGUAGCGAACAGGAUUAGAUACCCUGGUAGUCCAUGCCGUAAACGAUGAGUGCUAGGUGUUGGAGGGUUUCCGCCCUUCAGUGCCGGAGCUAACGCAUUAAGCACUCCGCCUGGGGAGUACGACCGCAAGGUUGAAACUCA